CUCACGAAACUGAUUUUUAUCUCGGAAAUUUAUCAUAAAAAGUGCUGAAAAUUACUUCAAAUAUACAGUCACCAUGAAGAUGAUAACUUGGAAUUGUAUUUUUGUGCUAUGUAUUUUUCUUAUGUUUGUUUCCUUCGUUCAAUCGCAAUCUCAACAAGGUCAAAACAUGCAGCAACAAGAACAGAACCGAAAAAGACAGCAGCAAGGAAUGGGACUUGGCUUAGGAUUGGGCCUUGGUUUGGAUCUAGGCAUGAAUUUGGGUCGUUAAUAUUUGGACCAGAUUCGGAAAAAAUAACGAGUAGAAGACAAAUUCCAUUCCACACCUCUUUAUAAGGAAACAUUUAUUAACUAUGACAAAAAAAAUUAACAACCAUAUAAAUAUACGAUAUUUUUUCUGUUAACUACAUAUCAACAUUCACAAUAUUAACAUUCAUAAAUUCUCUUCUCGGAUAUAUCCUAUUUGUCCUAUAUAUAAACAUCAAAACUGUGUAAAUCAAUCUGAAAAUUCGAAAUUCAUACAAAAAAUAUAUCUGAAAGAAUAUCACGAUCAUAUUCAAUAGGUUUAUGUAAAAUAAUAUUUUUUCAAAAAUCGCUGUACACAGAAAUUGCCAUGGAAGUUUUCUAUUUAUAUAGAUUAAAUUUAUACAGUUCGUUGAAAGUCAUUGUUUUAAAUCAUCAGAAUCUCAUAUCGGUAAGAUGUUUCAGUAUUUCAUAAGUAGUCACUUAUGAACUAAAAUUUGGCACAUCAAGAAACAAUAAAAUUUGUAUUGAUUUUA
Molecule: long non-coding RNA, 776 nt
Organism: Harmonia axyridis
Lineage: Eukaryota; Metazoa; Arthropoda; Insecta; Coleoptera; Coccinellidae
Exons: 2
Source: RefSeq, a predicted model, not a curated record